Molecule: ribosomal RNA, 27 nt
Filed under: Heterakis dahomensis
Lineage: Eukaryota; Metazoa; Nematoda; Chromadorea; Rhabditida; Heterakidae
Description: partial 28S ribosomal RNA
Source: RNAcentral
UGACCUCAGCUCAGUCGUGAUACCCGC